GUCGAACGAGGGUCCUUCGGGACUCGAGUGGCGAACGGGUGAGUAACACGUAGGGAACCUGCCCGUGCGACCGGGAGAACUUUCGGAAACGGAAGCUGAUACCGGAUAGGGACAGAGACGGCAUCGACUCUGUGUUAAAGGAGCUGAAAGGCUCCGCGCACGGAUGGACCUGCGGUGCAUUAGCUAGUUGGUGAGGUAACGGCCCACCAAGGCGACGAUGCAUAGCCGGCCUGAGAGGGCGGACGGCCACACUGGGACUGAGACACGGCCCAGACUCCUACGGGAGGCAGCAGUAGGGAAUUUUCGUCAAUGGGCGCAAGCCUGAACGAGCAAUGCCGCGUGAACGAGGAAGGUCUUCGGAUCGUAAAGUUCUGUUGAAGGGGAAAAAGAGCGGAGAGAGGAAAUGGUCUCCGAUUGAUAUUACCCUUCGAGGAAGUCACGGCUAACUACGUGCCAGCAGCCGCGGUAAUACGUAGGUGGCGAGCGUUAUCCGGAAUGAUUGGGCGUAAAGGGUGCGUAGGCGGCCUGCUAAGUCUGGAGUGAAAGGUACCGGCUCAACCGGUACAGGCUCUGGAAACUGGCGGGCUAGAGAGCAGGAGAGGGCGGUGGAACUCCAUGUGUAGCGGUAAAAUGCGUAGAUAUAUGGAAGAACACCAGUGGCGAAGGCGGCCGCCUGGCCUGUUACUGACGCUGAGGCACGAAAGCGUGGGGAGCAAAUAGGAUUAGAUACCCUAGUAGUCCACGCCGUAAACGAUGAGGACCAAGUGUUGGGGAAGACCCAGUGCUGCAGUUAACGCAGUGAGUCCUCCG
RNAcentral lists this ribosomal RNA (810 nucleotides) under uncultured bacterium. RNAcentral describes it as "bacterial SSU rRNA". It matches the Rfam family "Bacterial small subunit ribosomal RNA", at positions 61 to 871 of the family's 1533-position model. The record is from RNAcentral.